ACGCACGCUGGCGGCGUGCUUCACACAUGCAAGUCGAACGGAAAGGCCCUGCUUGCAGGGUACUCGAGUGGCGAACGGGUGAGUAACACGUGGGUGAUCUGCCCUGCACUUCGGGAUAAGCCUGGGAAACUGGGUCUAAUACCGGAUAGGAGCCAUUUUUAGUGUGGUGGUUGGAAAGUUUUUUCGGUGUAGGAUGAGCUCGCGGCCUAUCAGCUUGUUGGUGGGGUAAUGGCCUACCAAGGCGGCGACGGGUAGCCGGCCUGAGAGGGUGGACGGCCACAUUGGGACUGAGAUACGGCCCAGACUCCUACGGGAGGCAGCAGUGGGGAAUAUUGCACAAUGGGCGCAAGCCUGAUGCAGCGACGCCGCGUGGGGGAUGACGGCCUUCGGGUUGUAAACUCCUUUCGCUAGGGACGAAGCUUUUUGUGACGGUACCUAGAUAAGAAGCACCGGCUAACUACGUG
Molecule: ribosomal RNA, 464 nt
Filed under: uncultured bacterium
Lineage: Bacteria
Description: partial 16S ribosomal RNA
Rfam family: Bacterial small subunit ribosomal RNA
Source: RNAcentral